This 939-nucleotide ribosomal RNA is filed under the name Staphylococcus sp. MX-MONARCH22. RNAcentral describes it as "bacterial SSU rRNA". It matches the Rfam family "Bacterial small subunit ribosomal RNA", at positions 45 to 968 of the family's 1533-position model. The record is from RNAcentral. Lineage: Bacteria; Bacillati; Bacillota; Bacilli; Caryophanales; Staphylococcaceae.
UGCUAUACAUGCAGUCGAGCGAACAGAUAAGGAGCUUGCUCCUUUGACGUUAGCGGCGGACGGGUGAGUAACACGUGGGUAACCUACCUAUAAGACUGGGAUAACUUCCGGAAACCGGAACUAAUACCGGAUAACAUUUGGAACCGCAUGGUUCUAAAGUGAAAGAUGGUUUUGCUAUCACUUAUAGAUGGACCCGCGCCGUAUUAACUAGUUGGUAAGGUAACGGCUUACCAAGGCGACGAUACCUAACCGACCUGAAAGGGUGAUCGGCCACACUGGAACUGAAACACGGUCCAGACUCCUACGGGAGGCAGCAGUAGGGAAUCUUCCGCAAUGGGCGAAAGCCUGACGGAACAACGCCGCGUGAGUGAUGAAGGGUUUCGGCUCGUAAAACUCUGUUAUUAAGGAAGAACAAACGUGUAAGUAACUGUGCACGUCUUGACGGUACCUAAUCAGAAAGCCACGGCUAACUACGUGCCAGCAGCCGCGGUAAUACGUAAGUGGCAAGCGUUAUCCGGAAUUAUUGGGCGUAAAGCGCGCGUAAGCGGUUUCUUAAGUCUGAUGUGAAAGCCCACGGCUCAACCGUGGAGGGUCAUUGGAAACUGGGAAACUUGAGUGCAGAAGAAGAAAGUGGAAUUCCAUGUGUAGCGGUGAAAUGCGCAGAGAUAUGGAGGAACACCAGUGGCGAAGGCGACUUUCUGGUCUGUAACUGACGCUGAUGUGCGAAAGCGUGGGGAUCAAACAGGAUUAGAUACCCUGGUAGUCCACGCCGUAAACGAUGAGUGCUAAGUGGUAGGGGGUUUCCGCCCCUUAGUGCUGCAGCUAACGCAUUAAGCACUCCGCCUGGGGAGUACGACCGCAAGGCUGAAACUCAAAGGAAUUGACGGGGACCCGCACAAGCGGUGGAGCAUGUGGUUUAAUUCGAAGUCACGCGAAGAA